GCAAGCAUAAAUGAUCAAAGAAUCUCUCAACCGCCAUAACGCGCAGGUAUGUACAAUACACGAUACAGUAGCUCCAGCUCGGCAAAGUAGGCGGCUUACUUAAUCAGGAGCAUUGAUACGUACAUGGGUAUUAUGAGGACUUCAUUUGUGUAUCAACGACACCCUUUAUUUGUGCUGCUGUAACUUGCUUUGCGGUUGGACGCCUUGUUGCUCAGAGGCAAGAAGAGAAAAAGGCACUCGCGUCUCGACCAUACUGAGCAUGAGCUGCCGAGCUUCCCUCGUCUCCGACCUGCCCCUGUACUCCCGACUUCUCCCCUCAUAACAUAUUCAUCUCUUUUGCCUUCCUCCACAGUUCAGAAACAUGAAGAAAACCAAGGGGCUGAUCUCCCGGAAGAAGAAAACGGCAAAGAUUGGUUCCGAGCAAAAAUCCUUCAUGUGGCCUACCGCAGUCAGACUGAAGUUUGGCUAGACAAUGAAUCGUGGGCAGAUGCCUACUCCCGUCUCUUGGCUGCCAGGACCCUACGAAACAAUGGGGGAAAAGCUGAUUCCAUGCCUUCGAAACCCAGAAGCCUUGCUGUCCCCCAACUGUCAGAAGAAGAGUUUGAAGGUUUGAAGGCCUCGAGAUUGUCCAAGAACGAUCUAACCAAUGAACGGCGUCUCUCGGCAAUUUAGCCGCACCCAAUCGAUUCAUUGAAACAAACUAGGCCCAAGGGACUUCUAAAAAGUCUUCAGGUGGAAGGAGUUGUCGAAGAAAAAGGGUUCGGGAAGAUGUGGCAUUAUUGAGCAAAGGCAUCGAAGGCUGGAAACAUCCUACGCCUUCUGAAUUAUCCCUGAAUUACCCCAUCCUCUUCCUUUUCCUUGAAUACACUGUUCUCAAUGCGAAGCAAGCUCUAUGCCUCGACAAAUUCCUACGACGCUGCCAGCAUUCCUUGUGAGCUGGUCCUAACAACCGUGUGCCGUCAUUUCUCCUAAACCUUGACGAUACUGCGGAUACUGGCAAAACUCCCACAAUCAACGCAAUAUAUCAGACGGCCAUAGGCCUAAUGGAUGAGGCUGACAUGGGAGGCAUGGUGAUUGUACGGCGAUUAGCGUCAACAGGCAUAGCCGCCCUUCAUAUACAUCGUUCCACAUAUCAUUCCUCACUCGACUCUUCCCCCAAUGGAAAGUAAAGGCAAAGCAGCUGCAGGUCGUCAGUUGACUUCCCUUCAAGAGGACUGGAAACACAUACGUUAUCUGAUCAUUGAUGAAACAAUGGUUGGUCUGGGACUGGCUCUCACUGACAAACGUCUUCGUGAGAUCUUUCCUCAUAGGAACGUUUGGUUUGGUGGAUUGAUUGUCAUCGUCUGCGGAGCUUUCGGUCUCAACCUCUCCGGCCUGUAUCUCGCAAAGAAAUCAAUCCUCCGUAUCUCUGCUCUGCAUACCUGUCACGGCGCUAUGCAGAAGCUACGCCCGAAACCUCCACCUCUCUCGGCCGCCGCACCAAAGCACCUCCACCUCCGACGACCGCGGCCGAUCGUCUAAAUUCUCUUUGGUUUCUCGACACCUCUCUUCGUCCCUCGGUAUCUCUCCAGCCAUCUCGCUACCUUCCCGUCUCCUUCGAGCUAUCUAUACAUGCUCUGGUCAGCAUGCUCACCACCUCCUCGGGCCCCGUUCGGUACAUGAAUCAGCAGUAUGAGAAAGAUGAGUAAGCAAGGAAAACUAGGAAAAGUAUAUAAACCAUAGUUUAUAGUUUUCAUAGUUUCCCCCAGAAAAUCAACUGUUGUCUUCUCUUAUCUUUGUCCCAGUCCCGUUGCUUCUUCCCACCUUCUAGACCUUAUCACGUCUAAAAUCGCAUCGGUCAGCCCUUAGUCCGGCUCCUGUUCCCUUUCAGGCCUCGGCUAUUCUGUCCUCGUCCUUUCCUUCUCGCCACCUCGUUGAUUGAGCGUCGGGCUUUACGCUGACCGGCGUGACAGCCCUGACAGGAAGUUUUUCCAUAAACAUUCUAUACAUAUAUAGUAAAUGCUCUGUUCCUUCUUUCUUUCCUCAUGCAACGUAGAAACCUAUUCUUGACACGAAAGUCAUGCUUAUUAGAAACCUUUGGGUCGAUCAGGGCCUCACGAAUGGGUCAAUGGGAUAAGUGCACGAGAUUUCCUUGGACGGUGUCGCACGACCAAGGGUUGAUAUGCCUUCAUCUGUGGCGUACCUCGGUUCUAAUCACCCCGGCUAAGUGUGAAUGGAAGUCCCAGGGAUUUGCGCAAAGUCGUACCCAAUUCCCUCUUCAACUCGCAUUUGCCAUCACCAUCCACAAAUCUCAAGGCAUGACUCUUGACAGAGGAUGCUUCUGGUACGUACUGCAAAGGAUCAGAGGCCUGCAGAAGAUGGAAGUGGGCCGUUAGGAAUGAGGGGAGGAAUGAAAAAAACAUAAAUAAUAAAUUUGGAAGGAAUAAUGAAAUUCCACGCAAAAAGCUAAUAAAGAGAAAACACAGAUACUAUGCAAAUGGAAGAUGGAAAAGAACACGCCCCUUCUCAGAUGUAACAUCAAGCGGACUUAAUCGUGACUAAAAAUUCGAGAGCGUUGGGUUUACAAUUGGAAAGACCGCCAAACAGAAGAGGAUGCUCGCAACUAGUAUACAUUCCCCUGUCUUGACUUGUCUGUACCCUACAUACUAUGUCAUCU
This 2656-nucleotide small RNA is filed under the name Cryptococcus neoformans H99. RNAcentral's name for it is "Cryptococcus neoformans var. grubii H99 hypothetical RNA". Lineage: Eukaryota; Fungi; Basidiomycota; Tremellomycetes; Tremellales; Cryptococcaceae. The record is from RNAcentral.